This 18-nucleotide small nuclear RNA is filed under the name Arabidopsis thaliana (thale cress). RNAcentral describes it as "snRNA_06931". Lineage: Eukaryota; Viridiplantae; Streptophyta; Magnoliopsida; Brassicales; Brassicaceae. The record is from RNAcentral.
UUUGUAACUUUUAACUAU